AGUGAACGCUCGCGGUAGGCCUAACACAUGCAACUCGAACGGCAGCACAGUAAGAGCUUGCUCUUACGGGUGGCGAGUGGAGGACGGGAGAGGAAUACAUCGGAAUCUACUUUUUCGUGGGGGAUAACGUAGGGAAACUUACGCUAAUACCGCAUACGACCUACGGGUGAAAGCAGGGGAUCUUCGGACCUUGCGCGAUUGAAUGAGCCGCGGUCGGAUUGGCUAGUUGGCGGGGUAAAGGCCCACCACGGCGACGAUCCGUAGCUGGUCUGAGAGGACGAUCAGCCACACUGGAACUGAGACACGGUCCAGACUCCUACGGGAGGCAGCAGUGGGGAAUAUUGGACAAUGGGCGCAAGCCUGAUCCAGCCAUACCGCGUGGGUGAAGAAGGCCUUCGGGUUGUAAAGCCCUUUUGUUGGGAAAGAAAAGCAGCAGGUUAAUACCCCGUUGUUCUGACGGUACCCAGAAGAUAAGCACCGGCUAACUUCGUG
This 492-nucleotide ribosomal RNA is filed under the name uncultured bacterium. RNAcentral describes it as "partial 16S ribosomal RNA". It matches the Rfam family "Bacterial small subunit ribosomal RNA", at positions 29 to 507 of the family's 1533-position model. The record is from RNAcentral.